RNAcentral lists this transfer RNA (72 nucleotides) under Schistocerca americana (American grasshopper). RNAcentral describes it as "tRNA-Glu". It matches the Rfam family "tRNA". From Rfam's summary of the family: Transfer RNA (tRNA) molecules are approximately 80 nucleotides in length. The record is from RNAcentral. Lineage: Eukaryota; Metazoa; Arthropoda; Insecta; Orthoptera; Acrididae.
UCCGGUGUCGUCUAGUGGCUGGGAUGCCUGGCUCUCGCCCAGGAGGCCUGGGUUCGAUUCCCGGUACCGGAA